UACGAAGGGGGCUAGCGUUGCUCGGAAUUACUGGGCGUAAAGCGUGCGCAGGCGGUUUUGUAAGCCAGGGGUGAAAUCCCCGGGCUCAACCUGGGAAUGGCAUUUGGGACUGCAAGGCUGGAGUGCGGCAGAGGAGACUGGAAUUCCUGGUGUAGCAGUGAAAUGCGUAGAUAUCAGGAGGAAUACCGAUGGCGAAGGCAGGUCUCUGGGCUGACACUGACGCUCAUGCACGAAAGCGUGGGGAGCAAACAGG
This 253-nucleotide ribosomal RNA is filed under the name uncultured bacterium. RNAcentral's name for it is "partial 16S ribosomal RNA". It matches the Rfam family "Bacterial small subunit ribosomal RNA", at positions 524 to 776 of the family's 1533-position model. The record is from RNAcentral.